UACGAAGGGGGCUAGCGUUGCUCGGAAUCACUGGGCGUAAAGGGUGCGUAGGCGGGUUUUUAAGUCAGGGGUGAAAUCCUGGAGCUCAACUCCAGAACUGCCUUUGAUACUGAAGAUCUUGAGUCCGGGAGGGGUGAGUGGAACUGCGAGUGUAGAGGUGAAAUUCGUAGAUAUUCGCAAGAACACCAGUGGCGAAGGCGGCUCACUGGCCCGGUACUGACGCUGAGGCACGAAAGCGUGGGGAGCAAACAGG
This 253-nucleotide ribosomal RNA is filed under the name uncultured bacterium. RNAcentral describes it as "partial 16S ribosomal RNA". It matches the Rfam family "Bacterial small subunit ribosomal RNA", at positions 524 to 776 of the family's 1533-position model. The record is from RNAcentral.